RNAcentral lists this ribosomal RNA (302 nucleotides) under uncultured bacterium. RNAcentral describes it as "partial 16S ribosomal RNA". It matches the Rfam family "Bacterial small subunit ribosomal RNA", at positions 508 to 809 of the family's 1533-position model. The record is from RNAcentral.
GCAGUAGCCACGGUAAUACGAAGGGUGCAAGCGUUAAUCGGAAUUACUGGGCGUAAAGCGUGCGUAGGCGGUGAGUUAAGUCUGCUGUGAAAUCCCCGGGCUCAACCUGGGAAUGGCAGUGGAUACUGGCUCGCUAGAGUGUGUCAGAGGAUGGUGGAAUUCCCGGUGUAGCGGUGAAAUGCGUAGAGAUCGGGAGGAACAUCAGUGGCGAAGGCGGCCAUCUGGGACAACACUGACGCUGAGGCACGAAAGCGUGGGGAGCAAACAGGAUUAGAUACCCCAGUAGUCCCUGUCUUUUAUAC